RNAcentral lists this ribosomal RNA (595 nucleotides) under uncultured beta proteobacterium. RNAcentral's name for it is "bacterial SSU rRNA". It matches the Rfam family "Bacterial small subunit ribosomal RNA", at positions 329 to 915 of the family's 1533-position model. Lineage: Bacteria; Pseudomonadati; Pseudomonadota; Betaproteobacteria. The record is from RNAcentral.
CAGGUCACUCCUACGGGAGGCAGCAGUGGGGAAUUUUGGACAAUGGGCGCAAGCCUGAUCCAGCCAUGCCGCGUGAGUGAAGAAGGCCUUCGGGUUGUAAAGCUCUUUCGGACGGAAAGAAAUCGCGCAGGUGAAUAAUCUGCGUGGAUGACGGUACCGUAAGAAGAAGCACCGGCUAACUACGUGCCAGCAGCCGCGGUAAUACGUAGGGUGCGAGCGUUAAUCGGAAUUACUGGGCGUAAAGCGUGCGCAGGCGGUUUUGUAAGACAGGUGUGAAAUCCCCGGGCUUAACCUGGGAAUGGCGCUUGUGACUGCAAGACUCGAGUGCGGCAGAGGGGGGUGGAAUUCCACGUGUAGCAGUGAAAUGCGUAGAGAUGUGGAGGAACACCGAUGGCGAAGGCAGCCCCCUGGGUCGACACUGACGCUCAUGCACGAAAGCGUGGGGAGCAAACAGGAUUAGAUACCCUGGUAGUCCACGCCCUAAACGAUGCCAACUAGGUGUUGGGGAAGGAGACUUCCUUAGUACCGAAGCUAACGCGUGAAGUUGGCCGCCUGGGGAGUACGGUCGCAAGAUUAAAACUUAAAGGAAUUGACG